GGGAGCCCGGUGACGGGAGACUGUCACGCCGGGUUCUGAGAGCAGCGGCGGGUGAGAUUCCCGCCGCUGACUCACC
RNAcentral lists this non-coding RNA (76 nucleotides) under Frankia canadensis. Lineage: Bacteria; Bacillati; Actinomycetota; Actinomycetes; Frankiales; Frankiaceae. The record is from RNAcentral.